CGAUAAAAAAAGCGGCAGAUUGGCUUUGCGAGAUACCGAGUACACUCCCUUUUUUAUAAGACACCUAUAUGAGCUGUAUAGUCACGAAGCACUGCUGAAGAUUGAAGAAAGAAGACUUAGUAAAAAAAGUCAGGUUAGAUUAAUCUAAUCUGACUAUGGAUUCGGAUAUAAAUUUUAGAUAUGCAACUUUGCAUUGGCAGUUUUAUAUAGAUGACUGCAGUGUACGGUUGUGUAUAGGUUGGUCUAUCCCCAAGAAAAGUUUUUAAUCGGUAUGCCAACUGUCCUAUCCGGUCAUAAUAACUUAAAUUUUUGAUUUUUUUCAAUUUAAAAUAUUUGGUUAAUGUUUGCUCUUUGUUGGAUGCCCAGUACAUAUUUUUUUAUAGACAACAAUACUGAGUAUGUGGUUCCGAUGUCGCCACACUGCUAUACUAUUACAAUAAUAUGGACUUUGAACAGUAUUCGAUGAUGGAAGCCCAAAUUAUUUGUUACACGUCAUACUUACAUGCAAACAAUAAGUCAACAUACGGAUUAUCAGAUCGUAUAAUGUUAUUAAUAUUUUGUUAUAUAUUAAUUGCGCUAGGCCGGGACUAGGUUAGGUACGAAAACGAAAGGUGUAGGAAUUUGUCGUUUACCAGUAGCGCAACCAAGAUUUAUUCAAGGGGGGGGGGUCUGGACCCGGGGUCCACCACUGUCGUGUACCUAUACAGUUCCGGCCUAACGCAGUUUGAAUAGGACUCUCACUUAUACAUACCUAUGUACUGGACGUCCAAUAAAGAGGUAACCAAACGUUAAACAAAUAUAUAAAAACCUUUUUUUUUUCUUUUCUUUUUUUAUUGUUUUACCGAGUCGUAGGUAAAACGAUAAAAAAAGCGGCAGAUUGGCUUUGCGAGAUACCGAGUAUACUCCCUUUUUUAAGACACCUAUAUGAGCUGUAUAGUCACGAAGCACUGCUGAAGAUUGAAGAAAGAAGACUUAGUAAAAAAAGUCAGAUUAGAUAAAUCUAAUCUGACUAUGGAUUCGGAUAUAAAUUUUAGAUAUGCAACUUUGCAUUGGCAGUUUUAUAUAGAUGACUGCAGUGUACGGUUGUGUAUAGGUUGGUCUAUCCCCAAGAAAAGUUUUUAAUCGGUAUGCCAACUGUCCUAUCCGGUCAUAAUAACUUAAAUUUUUCAUUUUUUUCAAUUUAAAAUAUUUGGUUAAUGUUUGCUCUUUGUUGGAUGCCCAGUACAUAUUUUUUUAUAGACAAGAAUACUGAGUAUGUGGUUCCGAUGUCGCCACACUGCUAUACUAUUACAAUAAUAUGGACUUCGAACAGUAUUCAAUGAUGGAAGCCCAAAUUACUUCCGCAUGGUGUUUCAUGAUGAUGGUAUAAUUGAACGCACCUAUAGGAAGCAACAAGCCCGGAUUAAGAGGGAGAGGGCACUUCCCCGGGGCCCACGUGUGUAAAGAGCCUAUAGUUUUCUCUGCUUAUAAUUAGAUUAAAUAAUAAUUUUUACUUUCUAACCACGUAUCUACCCAGGCUCCUGAAGGUCUUAAUCCGGGCUUCCGAAGCAAGCGAACAAGUGCCGAUAUUCGCGGAGUAGAAGUUGGAAGUCCUUUGGGCUUCCGGUAAAUGAUUUAAUAACACUGAUGUUUCAAUUUACAUACGAGUAAAUGUUUGUUUGUUUUUUUUGUUUUUGAUUCUACGGUUGCUUUGAAUAUCAUACUUCGUGAAAUGAGACUCACUCACUGCAGUUAUCAGAAUGGACAGCCAGCUGAAUUAGAAAAAAAAUGUGUAUGAACAAAUAUUAUGUUCUGCGGUCGAUACGAUGAUACCUCUGCAGGCAGUUAUUAUAGGUGAGUGGCUGGCUGCUUUGAUCGCGCGGAACGACAGACAACGACGACAAGGCGGGUAAUGCAUAAUUGAAAUAGGAAAAAUUAUUGAAAUUUCAGUAUCAAAAAUUAAAAAAACAAUAUUGCAAUUAAAUAAUGAAAAUGGAAUUCUUGAUUUAUUAAAUUUGUCAAAUCCACAUUCAAAUGGUGCUGAUUUAUUAUAAAA
Long non-coding RNA from Aphis gossypii (cotton aphid), 2035 nucleotides. RefSeq lists it as uncharacterized. The transcript is spliced from 2 exons. The record is from RefSeq and is a predicted model, not a curated record. Lineage: Eukaryota; Metazoa; Arthropoda; Insecta; Hemiptera; Aphididae.